Molecule: ribosomal RNA, 512 nt
Filed under: uncultured bacterium
Lineage: Bacteria
Description: partial 16S ribosomal RNA
Rfam family: Bacterial small subunit ribosomal RNA
Source: RNAcentral
GACGAACGCUGGCGGCGUGCCUAAUACAUGCAAGUCGAGCGGACCAAUAGAAGCUUGCUUCUGUUGGUUAGCGGCGGACGGGUGAGUAACACGUGGGCAACCUGCCUGUAAGACUGGGAUAACUUCGGGAAACCGGAGCUAAUACCGGAUAAUUCAUCCCCUCGCAUGAGGGGAUGCUGAAUGUCGGUUUACGCUGACACUUACAGAUGGGCCGGCGGCGCAUUAGCUAGUUGGUGAGGUAAUGGCUCACCAAGGCGACGAAGCGUAGCCGACCUGAGAGGGUGAUCGGCCACACUGGGACUGAGACACGGCCCAGACUCCUACGGGAGGCAGCAGUAGGGAAUCUUCCACAAUGGACGAAAGUCUGAUGGAGCAACGCCGCGUGAGCGAUGAAGGCCUUCGGGUCGUAAAGCUCUGUUGUUAGGGAAGAACAAGUAUCGGAGUAACUGCCGGUACCUUGACGGUACCUAACCAGAAAGCCACGGCUAACUACGUGCCAGCCGCCGCCGUAA